This is a long non-coding RNA of Vespa crabro (European hornet), 1196 nucleotides long. RefSeq lists it as uncharacterized. The record is from RefSeq and is a predicted model, not a curated record. NCBI's taxonomy places the organism in Eukaryota, Metazoa, Arthropoda, Insecta, Hymenoptera, Vespidae. The transcript has 2 exons.
ACGGAAAUCAAGCAUGAUUUCUUGUACAAUAAAUGCAAGACGCAAGUUUUAUCGCGAGGCAUGAUCAGCUGACACGCAUAAGCGGCAUGAUUGAUCCUCAUUGUCGGCUGGCCGACACUACUAUAUUUACCAACAAGGCGUCUCUCUUAAUUAAAACGUUACAGUCCUUACCGACAAACCGGAACUCUGCUAACGUGUCAGGACCGGCUGACGUUCCGCGUGUUCGUUAAUCGCUGCUUAGAAUUAGUGGACACCUCGCGCGUUUCCUUCCUCGCAAUAACUAAUUUACAUCGAUCAUUUACAUUCUACAAACCGAUAUCAUUAAAUGAAAGACGAUAGACGAUCGUAGGGCCAUCCAUCAAUACGAAGAUAUCAUAUAAAUCAAAAUAAGAAGAAGCGUCAUUUCGUUUGGAUUGGCAAGAAGGAUAGAAAAUAGAACGAUAAUCCCCAAUGGAUCUACUCGAGGCUUUCACAUUGCCGGUAAAAGAAGUAAUGGCAGAAUGGUGGCGUUAGCAGCGUCGUCGGUGGUAGCGGCAGCAACAACAACAACAACAACAGUAACGGCAACGGCAACGGCAACGGCAACGGCAAUGGCAACGGCAACGUUAGCAGCAGGAACGGCAGCUUUAGCGAACGAAAACGAUCCAUCACGAACGUGACAGCCUCCCUCCUCGCUAGAAACAACUAACUAUGACAUUCUUCUCGCUGCCACUGCUUCCUCUUGCCUUUUCCACUAGACACGUACUUCUCUAUCCGACCUUUCGUUGCUCCAUGUAUUUCUUCCCUCUUCUUUUUCUUUCUCUCUCCCUCUCUCUCUCUCUCUCUCUCUCUCUCUCUCUCUCUUUCUUUCUUUCUUUCUUUCUUUCUCCCCUCUUUCUCUUUUACCGUAUUCACCUUCUUCCGAUAAGCAAUCGUGUGCUGAUUAAUAUCAACCCAACGACGCCAACUCGCUUCCGGUACCAAUCCCAAAAAUAUAAUAUAUACAUACAUACAUAUGUAGCUACUAACUUACGCUUUCUCUCUUUCACUUUCACUAUCAGUCCGAUCUAAUAUAUAAAUAUCGUCAAAACCAUUGAAAUUCGCCUUAUUGUUUAGGUGUUCUUUUUAUCGAUUUGACAUACACGUAACUAAAGUACUAAGCGUUCCCAUUAGUAAUACUUUUUCAUCCAUUAAUAAAUCCAAGAAGUAAGUGCAAA